CCCACGGGGGAAAUUUCCACGACCGACGAAAUCGGGAAGAAAUACCCGGCUCACUCUCGCGACGCAUUGGAGCGACGCAACCGCCACGACCCGGAGCGACGCCGCCGAUGCCGCUGCUGCCGCCUCACUCUGUCGACCUUGGCGACCGCGACCGACCCCGACCCCGACGCAUCCCUCGGCAACCGUGACCGACCCCGACGCCUCCCUGCAGUGACUGCGAACGACCGCGACGCCUCCGGCGACAGAGAGCUACCCUGAUACCUCCCUCCGGCGAUCUCGAGGCUCCUCUCCCCUCCGACGCAGCAGGAUGUGGAGAACCCAUAUCAUCCUCACCCUCCUCCGCACACAAGUCACAAGUUGGUUGUCUGACUUUUAGAUUAAAAAUGGUGCCAUGGUAGAAGUUAAAUGAAAGAUUGAACUUGAAGUACCUUGGGAACUUGAGAGAUCAUAAGGAAGGGCAUGAGAGAUAGUGAAACCGUCACUAAUUUGUGAUAUUUCGAUGGAGUAUUGUAUUUUUAAUAUAUUAUGUAAUGAAUUAUUUGCGAUUGAAUUGGAGUGAUAAACCAAGAUACUGUAGUACUUUUGCGCCAGAAUGCAAAAUUGAUACGCAUCAAGAAAAUAUAAUUAUUAUGUGUCAUUAUGAUUGCAAA
This is a long non-coding RNA of Brachypodium distachyon (stiff brome), 650 nucleotides long. RefSeq lists it as uncharacterized. The record is from RefSeq and is a predicted model, not a curated record. Lineage: Eukaryota; Viridiplantae; Streptophyta; Magnoliopsida; Poales; Poaceae. The transcript is spliced from 3 exons.